CCUACGGGAGGCUGCCGUGGGGAAUCUUGGGCAAUGGGCGCAAGCCUGACCCAGCAACGCCGCGUGAAGGAAGAAGGCUUUCGGGUUGUAAACUUCUUUUCUGAGGGACGAAGAAAGUGACGGUACCUCAGGAAUAAGCCACUGCUAACUACGUGCCAGCAGCCGCGGUAAUACGUAGGUGGCAAGCGUUAUCCGGAUUUAUUGGGUGUAAAGGGCGUGUAGGCGGGAAAGCAAGUCAGAUGUGAAAACUCAGGGCUCAAACCUUGGCCUGCAUUUGAAACGGUUUUUCUUGAGUGCUGGAGAGGCAAUCGGAAUUCCGGGUGUAGCGGUGAAAUGCGUAGAUAUACGGAGGAACACCAGUGGCGAAGGCGGAUUGCUGGACAGUAACUGACGCUGAGGCGCGAAAGCGUGGGGAGCAAACAGGAUUAGAUACCCCAGUAGUC
Molecule: ribosomal RNA, 443 nt
Filed under: uncultured bacterium
Lineage: Bacteria
Description: partial 16S ribosomal RNA
Rfam family: Bacterial small subunit ribosomal RNA
Source: RNAcentral